GGGGGGGGGGGGGGGGGGGCGGGGGGGGGGGGGGGCGGGCGGGGGGGCCCUGCGUGUGUGGGGUGCUCGAGUGGCGGACGGGUGAGUAACACGUGAGUAACCUGCCCUUGACUUUGGGAUAACUUCAGGAAACUGGGGCUAAUACCGGAUAGGAGCUCCUGCUGCAUGGUGGGGGUUGGAAAGUUUCGGCGGUUGGGGAUGGACUCGCGGCUUAUCAGCUUGUUGGUGGGGUAGUGGCUUACCAAGGCUUUGACGGGUAGCCGGCCUGAGAGGGUGACCGGCCACAUUGGGACUGAGAUACGGCCCAGACUCCUACGGGAGGCAGCAGUGGGGAAUAUUGCACAAUGGGCGGAAGCCUGAUGCAGCAACGCCGCGUGCGGGAUGACGGCCUUCGGGUUGUAAACCGCUUUCGCCUGUGACGAAGCGUGAGUGACGGUAAUGGGUAAAGAAGCACCGGCUAACUACGUG
This 468-nucleotide ribosomal RNA is filed under the name uncultured bacterium. RNAcentral describes it as "partial 16S ribosomal RNA". It matches the Rfam family "Bacterial small subunit ribosomal RNA", at positions 35 to 507 of the family's 1533-position model. The record is from RNAcentral.